RNAcentral lists this long non-coding RNA (422 nucleotides) under Mytilus galloprovincialis (Mediterranean mussel). Lineage: Eukaryota; Metazoa; Mollusca; Bivalvia; Mytilida; Mytilidae. The record is from RNAcentral.
GUGUCUUGGACGUUCUAUUAUGGGAUUUUUGUUACAAACAUACCCGCAUACGUUUUAGUUAAAGUCUUGAAGCGCCUACAACAUGCCUUAAACGUGUCUCAAACUUAUCUGUAGCGCGUUCAACGCGCUUGUAACGUAUGUAUAACGUGAAUGUAGCGUACAGGUAUACGCUAGAGACACACUUAAGCUGGAUGAACAUUUGUAUGCUGCAUAAAAGUUUCCACGAGUUGUGUAGCGUUCACCAAGCGUAUACCUUUGUAUUUCGACGUGCUUCAAACUAAUGCAGCGCGCGUUUAACGUUUGCUUAGCUUUCCUCUGGCGUGCAACUAACGUAUACCGACUUUGUACUCUGUCUCUGUACGUUUGGUGCACGACGGUCUAUACGCCAAUGUGUGACGCCGGCAUAAAUUGUGUAUAGAAAU